GAAGUCAGAUUUGCUUUAACUUCCACAUUUGCAGAGAGAAUAUGAUACAAUGGUUUUGAGCUUCCGCAUGUGUAAAUGAUCUUACAAAGUUUUAUGUAUUAAAGAUACUUUAUUUUACUUUUUAAUACUGACAUAUAGUCAAACAGAUUCAUAAUCUGAAAUUUCUCUAUUAUAUUAUUAAUAUUGGGGGUAGUUGAAACUAUGUAUUAUAUUUAGUUAAAUAUUUUAUAUUUCAAACGAAUAAUAGUAUACUUCUCACUAACUUGAAUUAGUCAACGAUUAUGAUUAAAGUCAAGAAAUAAUUUUGGUAGAUGAUGGAAGCAAACGUGAUGGUCCAGCGAAGGAGUUGGCAACAAAGGAUCUGAGGAGAGAGGAGUGAGGAGUGAGACUCGAAGUGAACUAUUAGUUAGAGAGCUAUAAGUUCAAAACGAACUGAUACCG
Molecule: long non-coding RNA, 441 nt
Filed under: Brassica napus (rape)
Lineage: Eukaryota; Viridiplantae; Streptophyta; Magnoliopsida; Brassicales; Brassicaceae
Description: long non-coding RNA (BNAP_LNC010268)
Source: RNAcentral